RNAcentral lists this RNase P RNA (374 nucleotides) under Clostridia bacterium. RNAcentral describes it as "RNase P RNA component class A". It matches the Rfam family "Bacterial RNase P class A". From Rfam's summary of the family: Ribonuclease P (RNase P) is a ubiquitous endoribonuclease, found in archaea, bacteria and eukarya as well as chloroplasts and mitochondria. Its best characterised activity is the generation of mature 5'-ends of tRNAs by cleaving the 5'-leader elements of precursor-tRNAs. Lineage: Bacteria; Bacillati; Bacillota; Clostridia. The record is from RNAcentral.
CCGGUGAGUGGCGCAGUUGCGCGGUACCAUGCCGAAAGGCCGUACCGUGAGGAAAGUCCGGGCUUCACAGGGCAAGGAUAACGGAUAACAUCCGCCGAGGGCAACCUCCGGGCAAGUGCAACAGAGAUAUACCGCCAACCUUUGGUUGGUAAGGGUGGAAAGGCGAGGUAAGAGCUCACCGAAGACCUUGGUAACAAGGCCUUCCUGUAAACCCUAUCCGAAGCAACGCCUUCAAGCGCGCCGCAAGGCGGCGGUGCCCACCGAAAGCUUGAUGGCGGCAGGGGAGAGAUCCCUGAGCUUGUCGGUAACGGCAAGCAAAGAUAGAUGACUGCGACCGCAAGGUACAGAACCCGGCUUACAAGCUCACCGGUGAU